This 497-nucleotide ribosomal RNA is filed under the name uncultured bacterium. RNAcentral describes it as "partial 16S ribosomal RNA". It matches the Rfam family "Bacterial small subunit ribosomal RNA", at positions 28 to 507 of the family's 1533-position model. The record is from RNAcentral.
GAUGAACGCUGGCGGCGUGCCUAAUACAUGCAAGUCGAGCGAACAGACGAGGAGCUUGCUCCUCUGACGUUAGCGGCGGACGGGGGAGUAACACGUGGAUAACCUACCUAUAAGACUGGGAUAACUGCGGGAAACCGGAGCUAAUACCGGAUAAUAUAUUGAACCGCAUGGUUCAAUAGUGAAAGACGGGUUUGCUGUCACUUAUAGAUGGAUUCGCGCCGCAUUAGCUAGUUGGUAAGGUAACGGCUUACCAAGGCAACGAUGCGUAGCCGACCUGAGAGGGUGAUCGGCCACACUGGAGCUGAGACACCGUCCAGGCUCCUACGGGAGGCCGCAGUAGCGAAUCGUCCGCAAUGGGCGAAAGCCUGACGGAGCAACGCCGCGUGAGUGAUGAAGGUCUUCGGAUCGUAAAACUCUGUUAUUAGUGAAGAACAAAUGUGGAAGUAACUAUGCACGUAUUGACGGUACCUAAUCAGAAAGCCACGGCUAACUACGUG